Xiphophorus couchianus (Monterrey platyfish) is the source of this 172-nucleotide long non-coding RNA. RefSeq lists it as uncharacterized. NCBI's taxonomy places the organism in Eukaryota, Metazoa, Chordata, Actinopteri, Cyprinodontiformes, Poeciliidae. The record is from RefSeq and is a predicted model, not a curated record. The transcript has 3 exons.
CUUUCAAUGUGCAGCAUUAAGUGUUCACAUGUAGUAAAAUCAAAAGCUAUUUCAAUCAGAACCAUCUUAACAGAUCCAGUUCCAUGUUAACUUUGGACCUUCUCUGGUAUCACAGCACAAUUCUGGAUCCAUUGAACUUGUGAGUUUGUGGAAAGUUUCUGCUGAAUUUCUC